AUACCCCUCUGUCUCUUGAAACAAGUCGGUUUGUAUUCAGAGUCCAUGAAAGUCUGCUCCAGCAUUUGAAUAACGUAAAUACUUGUUGUUUUGUUUGCAACAUAUCGACCAUGUUGUCACGAUUUAGUUUUAUUAUUGACAACAUCAUAAAAAACAGAAGCAUUCAGUGCAAUUCAAGUCGAGACGCGCAGUAUUUAGCUCUGACUGUACUUCAAGAAUAUGCAACACUCCAAGCUUCUGUUAUUCUACGACUUAACAAUCAAUACCAUGGAUCAAAGUCUCCCACAUUGAGAUUCAAGGCUAAGUUGAUCUUAUUGAUUUCCAUAGACUAUUCACUUCAUCUUUUUCAUCCCAAUCAUCACUCCUCUCCACGCUUAUCUGGCCGUUUUUUCCCUACUCUGUGGCUUUGACAGUGCUCCUCACGGAUAAUCCCCUCUGUGGUUAUCAAAUUUGCGUUUUUUAAUGACAGGGAAAAAGUGGGUGUGACGCAAGGCAUGUGUUUGAAUAUACUGUCCUGCAUGUGCACCUAUAUUUUAUUUGUAUCUUAAUAUUACGUUAAAUGAUUGUGUAGGAGGUGUAGUCGUUAUCAGCAAGCCAAUAAUACAUCAAUGGUUACGUAAAGUGGGAAUCUGUCUAUAUUCAUAAAUAGUCAUGCAAAACUCCCGCAUACAUUCUUAGAAGACACAUUUUGUUGUUAUAAAUGCAGGCAUUUUUGGUCCCAAAAAUCCAUAAAAGUAGGAAUAAACAAUAUGUUGUGUUGCAUUAUGCAGUAAUAGCAAGUGUUGAACUCUAAACUAAACCACAUUCAACUGGGACCUUUCCUGUGUCUCAAUAAAUAGUCCAGGGUUGUCCAAAGUGUGGCCCAAGGGCCAUUUGUGGCCCACCGCACAUUUUAAAAAUACAAUUUAACAAGAAAACAAAAACAAUAACCAUAAUAAUUAUAAAUAAUAAUUGAAUAAGGUUGCGGAAAAUGUCGUGUUUUGAGAAAGUCAAAAUAUUAUGGGGAAAAAGUCAUAAUUACCAGAAGAAAAUGUACAAGAAGAAAGCUGAAAUAGUUGAGAAACAAAAAAAAAACAGCAUUCAAAAUAUGAACAGAAAAAAGUGAUGAUGAAAACGUUGCAUUCUAACGAGAAAAAAAGUCGCUAUUUUAUGAAAACAAGCUUACAUUAUGAGGAAAAAUAAUGCCAUUUUAGUAGCACAGAGUUGAAAUAUAAAAAAAAAAAUCUAUUUUUUUAAGGCAUCAUAUUAUGAGCGUUUGCAUGUUCUCCCCGUGCGUGCGUGGGUUCUCUCCGGGUGCUCCGGUUUCCUCCCACGUUCCAAAAACAUGCAUGUUAGGUUAAUUAGCAACUCUAAAUUGUCCAUAGGUAUGAAUGUGAGCGUGAAUGAUUGUUUGUCUAUAUGUGCCCUACGAUUGGCUGGUGACCAGCCCAGGGUGUACCCCGCCCCUUGCCCGAAUCAGCCGGGAUAGGCUCCAGCAUUCCCAUGCGACCCUAAUGAGGAGAAGUGGCAUAGGACAUGGUUGGAUGGAUAAUAUUAUGUGAAACAAAAAUAUUAAAGGUAAAUUUUGGUAAAUUAGGUUGGGGAAAAUAUAAUAGUAUAGGAAUAAAGUCAAGAUAUUAUAGUCGUAAUAGUACAAAAAGAACAUUUGCAAAAGUUAUUUAAGAAGGAAGUUGAAAUAUUUGGAAAAUAAAAAAAAAAACAGCAAAAAUGUGGGGAAAAAAAGCAAUUCAUACUAAUAUACGCUUUUUCACCUGUAUCACAGUUUUUUUUCUUGAAAUAUGGCCCUUGCAUACUUUCAUUUUUCUGUAUUUGGUCCUCAGCGGAAAAAGUUUGGACACCCCUGAAAUAGUCAUGAAAAAAUUUGGACCGACACUCAACUAAAAUAAUGUUCUGCUAUCAUCAAGUAAGACAAGUUAGUUUUAAUAAAUUCAUAGAUGAGAAUGCAAUUAAAUCGCUGGCAAUGAAACCAUUUCGAAAGCUGCACAUUUCUGUCUGGCACAAACAUCCAUUUUAGAACAAAGUCAAGUAAAGUCUGGACUAAUACGAUCGGGAAAUUAUAAAGUGGGCUGACUCAGCACUGUUUUGCCGCAGCUACAUGCCAGCUGCGUGUGAUUCGGAGUGAUUCAUUCAGUCUUUGCAAAUCACAUAUUUACAAUCCAAAGGCAAAACUUGGAAAUAAAUCAUUUACAGACAAAAACUAUACCAACGUGAACCAAUAUCAACAUCCCUAAUUUUGAAUGCACCACCAUAUUUACAAGUAUAGCACUUUCUUAUUGUAUAAAGUCUCUAUGUGAGCUUCCACAACGCUCAUGUGCUCCUUUAUUCGCAGCUCCACUUUGUCUUCCACAUUCAUUUGUGCCUUUUCGCCCUCUAAAUGUUUCAUGACAUUUUAGUAGGUUUUUUUUUUUUUUUCGCAAAGCCAUGUACUUAUUACAUUUAUGCCCCUUAGCAUACUCAGCCUUUCUACUCAUGAAAUCAAUUAAUUCUCUUCAAUAAUUUACCUUCCGAGCACACCAGAUUAAGUAAAGCGCAUUUUUUUUUUUGUGCUGUUGUAACCAAUGUAUAUUCUCUUGGUGUGCCGGCAUUAACGUUGGCCUUACCCUUCGACUCGGAGGAGUCUUGGGUGAUUAGAGAAAGAGCGAGAGUCUUGAUAGAGCAUUGCUGAGUGACACACAUACACACAGACACACACACACACACAGCCUGAAGACCCCUCUGUGCAUUUGCACACAUUCAUUUUUCAUGAAACAGACUCAUAACAAUUAGUCUGGUUACCGCCUGGGUAGUCUUAACAUUCUGACAUCACUCUUUUAAAAGUUCUGAAAUUGACGUCCUUAUUCGUUUUCACAGUGAGGACAUUAGCUCUUCUUGGCCAAAGAAGGGCAAUAAAGUGGACGGGGGCGACGGAGUAGAGUGCUCAGGAAACAGGUAUGGAACACGAGGGCAGCCAGGUAGGAGGAUCUCUUUCAGAAACCGCUUCUGACCAGCUGAUCCCAGUCCUGCGCAUCAGCCAGCUGGAUGCUCUCGAGCUCGACUCAGCCCUGGAGCAGCUCCUGUGGACCCAGUUCUCCCAGUGCUUCCAGAGCUUCCGCCCGGGCCUUCUGACACCUCUGGAGCCCGAACUGAAAGCUUUGCUCCAGCUGCUCCUGUGGAGGUUCACUCUGUAUCCUGACAGCACCACAGUGGGCCAGUCUAUACUGAGCCUCCGCCACCACAACGUCUCGUCCUCAUCCGCGCGCUACAAGCCUCUUUCCCGGAGGCAGAAAUUGGCUCUGGUUCUGCUAACAGCGGGGCCUCGUUGGCUCCAAGAGCGCUCCCACAGCCUUCGUCGGUGCCUCGGUUUGACCUCAGGAGCGUCUGAAGGUGAUGCGGUGUUUUCCCAAAAGGCCCUCAGCAUUUCCCUGACUCUGAUUUCCGGAGUCGCGCGUCUUGCGAGCCUUGUCAACUUCCUCGUGUUCCUCAGGAAAGGUCAACACCCAGUCUUAGCUGAACGGCUCAUCGGAGCUCAGGCGGUUUUUAGCAAGCCCAACGUGACGCGGGACAUUACAUACCAGUACAUGAAUCGCGAGCUGCUGUGGCACGGCUUUGCAGAGUUCCUCAUUUUCCUUUUGCCGCUCAUCAACACAAGGAAACUGAAAGCAACCAUGUAUUCCUUUCUACUCCGGGGGGACGGAAGUGGCGUGGCGGGUACACGGGAUAGGGAUGGGGUGUUGAAAGAGUGCGGCCUGUGCGGAGAGUGGCCUACCAUGCCUCACAGGGUAGGGUGUCAACAUGUUUUCUGCUACUACUGUAUCAAAAGUCAUAGUAUUGCAAACAAUUGCAUCACCUGUCCCAAAUGUGGGGCGGAGGCAAGACAAGCGGAGCCAGUCAAGAUGGAGGUAGAAAUGCUUGUCAGGCACUAGAUUGGAGGAAAUUACUUGCAAGUCCAUAUUUUCAUAUUGGUGGAAAUGCAAUACAGUUCAAUAAGAAUCUUUGAUUAACACUGUAUUUGACGAUGACGUCCUUUCCGAACACGCAUCGACCAGCUAUGUUUAAUGUAUGUGCACAUAUAUUGACAGUCCUCUGCCCCUUCUGUAUCUCUGACUGGACUUCGCACAGAACUAUUUGUCUUUGGCGCACCGGACAGACUACCAAGAACCACACAGAGCAUAUAUUUGAUGAAAGAACGUGUUGAUUUAUGCUCCAAAUGCUCUCUCGCAGUGCGUGUUUGUUGAAAUGGGAAUAUUUGUUCUGAUGAAAAAUGCAGAAAAUCAGCUGAAUAAAUAAUGGGAGGAAUUUCUGAUGCCUCUCAUCACGACCAAAUUAGCAUUUGUUGUGUAUUUUGUUCCUAAAUUGUAUUUCAACAUCAUUAAAAUUGAUUUCGGGCUUUCUCCUGAGUGUUUAUUCAGUUAAGUGGAGGAGGGAGAUGAGGGAAAGUUAUAACAAUCAGCACACUUCUCUCUAGACAGGCCUGGUCGUUCUAACUCCCAUUAUCCGUUUUCACAGCACCCCAACAUCCUCGAGAUCAAGGGGGCAGCCGGGGGCUUGGAUUGACUCUCACACUCACACACUUGACAGCCAGCCUCUCUUUUCCCUUGGCCCUUCUCUCUUUUGCUUGCCUUUCCAUCCCACCCCCUCGUAAUCUCCAGGGCCCUUGCCCCCAUAAGACUGUCGUAAACUGUACCAAAACCCUGGCAGUCGUCUUCUUCCUCGCAGGCGAAUUACUCUCUAAUCCCUGUAAUGAGUCCAAAGAUGCUUAUUUAUGCUGGAGUUAACCUCCACCAGUGAGCCCAGCCCCGGGCGAAACGCACCCCAGCUGAGUGAAGCCUUUCCUGGUUGACAAGAGAGGAGUAGGAUGGUGGUGGAGGUGGUGGUGGUGCUGGGUUGGGAGGGGUAUUACUUCCUCCCACCACUCCUCCCCCUUCCUCCUGUCUUCCACUCUGAUCACUGGGGCUUAAUUGCUGAUUGCUGAGAUGUCAAAGCAGACGAUAAGAAGCCUGCUGCUGGAAGUUGUCUCUGAUCAACAUGAUCUUAAGACUUUUAGUAGAAUAAAUGAAGCGCUAUUACUUUUAGAAAUUAGCUACUUUCUCGCAAAGCUGCACACUCCAAAAACCACAUACAGUAAAUCCCUCGUUUAUCCCAGUUAAUUGGUUCCACACCCGAUCGUGAUAAGCGAAUUUCCGCAAAGUGGGAUCCGUUAUUCAUAAAUGGAAUAUUUUGGAAGUUAGAGCACAUAAACCCUGUUUACGACCUUCUGUAUACGGUUUUUAACAUUGUUUGAGCUUUCUGGACAUGAAAAAACUAGGGGUGUCUUGGAGUAGACACACAGUAUACGUUGACAGUUCAUAGGGUUAAAAACGAUACUUCAUAUACAAUUAACAACUAUUUCAUAAUAGAGACAGUUUGACGCUGGAAGGGAUCACUUUGUAUGGGAAAAUGACAACAGAAAUUGGAGGUACCCUUCCACCCUCAUCAGCGCGCUGGGGAGGAAUUUUGGCCCACUCAUCUUUGCAGAAUUGUUGUCAUUCAGCCACAUUGGAGGGUUUUCCAGCAUGAAGCGCCUUUUUAAGACAUUCAAGGUGGACUUGCUGGUGUGUCCUGCUGCAGAACCCAAGAUGGUUUCAGCUUGAGGUCACGGACAUUCUCCUUCAGGAUUUGUUGGGAGACAGCAGAAUUCAUGGUUCCAUUUAUCACAGCAAGUCUUCCUGGUCCUGAAACAGCCCCAGACCAUCACACUACCACCACCAUAUUUUACUGUUGGGAUGAUGCUCUUUUUCAGAAAUUCGGUAUUACCUGAUGUAAUGGGACACACACCUUCCAAAAAGUUCAACUUUUGUCUCGUCAGACCACAGAGUAUUUUCCCAAAGGUCUUGGGCAUCAUCAUGUUUUCUGGCAAACUUGAGACGAGCCUUAAUGUUCUUUUGUUCAGCAGUGGUUUUGUUCUUGGAUCUCUGCCAUGCAGGCCCUUUUUGCCCCUUAUUUUGUCUUUCUUAUGGUGGAGUCAUGAACAUUGACCUUAACUGAGGCAAGUGACGGCUGCAGUUUUUUGGAUGUUGUUGUGGGGUCUUUUGUGACCUCUUGGAUGAGUCGUCGCUGCGCUCUUGGGGUCAUUUUGGUUGGCCGUACAGAUGAUUUCUCACGGAAUAAAUUGUUUUCAGUCUAAAUUUGAGAUCGACCAGCAUCCUGGUUUGUGUUCUUUGACCUUAGAGCGCCCAUUGAGGCCCCUUAUUAGAUUUGAGGAUAAUACUCACCUUAAAAUGAGGCUUACAAAAGUAGAUGAUUAGUUUGACAUUAUGGAUCUAAAAACCCUCAUCCUGUGGACACUUGGAAGUCCUCUCGCUUUCUCCCCCGUCAUCAAGGACAUUUUGACUAAUGAAGCCUGUGGUAAUGCACAUAAAGCCCAAGACAGAAGCGGCCGGUUGUCAAUAUUUUAUGCACUACAUUACAUUCAUGUACUUGGAGUCCCAGAAAGAGAGAUGAGGGAUGCAUCUAUGAUCACCGUUAAUGCCACUGGGACAUGUCAUUGUCUUAACAUUCAAUGAGACUUACACCAUAAACCUUUUUUGCAGAUAUUAUUCUACAACUCUAAUGGAGGUCCCCCCUCCCCAGUCUCUAGGAAAGAGGAAAGAUAAAGACAAAGGAGUACAUUAAAGUCGAUUUAAUUGAGUGAGAUCACGGAUUGAAUUAGCCGAGUUGGAACAAGGCCCUGGACUCGAGGUGGGUAGCGAAGGCCCCGUUAAGCCUAUCUGUCUUUGGAUCUCUUCCAAUUCACAGCAAAAGAGGAAGAAGCCCCCCCCCUUGUUCCCAGCGGCUAUGCAAAGCAAUCUGCACAUUCACACAUAGCCAUUUAGGGAGCAAAUUGGCCAUGUGCCCCCCACUGACGAAGGUUUUAAGAGAAAGGGAAUUAGGGCAUUGAAUCCCUAACU
This is an RNA transcript of Dunckerocampus dactyliophorus (ringed pipefish), 6905 nucleotides long. It is a transcript of the gene named peroxisomal biogenesis factor 2, with no coding region annotated. The record is from RefSeq and is a predicted model, not a curated record. Lineage: Eukaryota; Metazoa; Chordata; Actinopteri; Syngnathiformes; Syngnathidae. The transcript is spliced from 5 exons.